AUGAUGCAACAAAUCUGGUCCGUUGAUCAAGCACAAGCUCUAGCCUUAAAGGCCGAGAGGUUUGUGAGGAUGAGAAAGACAACUAAGGCUCCAUAUCCUCCAUAUCCUCAUACCGAAGGCUCAUCUAGGAGCCAACCUAAUAGAGUGGAAGAAAAGGCCACUCCACCAAAGACAAAACAGCCCAUCCUGAAACAAACUAGAGGCAAGGGUAAGGCAAAUGAAGGCCCAAAGUGCUAUAAAUGUGGUAAAGAGGGAUACAUAUCCAUCGGUUGCCCACUAAGGAAAUUUGUUGACACCACUAUCCAUGAUAGUGAAAGCGAUGAGGAAGAAUACGAAUCUGAAGAUGUAGACGGACAAGAGGUUUGUCAAGAAGAAGGUGAAGAGGUGAUAUGUGUGAUCCAGCGUGUCCUAUGCUCCACACCACAACUCGAUGACACACAAAGGAAGAAAAUAUUUGAGAGCAAAUGCACGGUGAAUGGCAAGGUAUGCAAACUAGUGAUUGAUAGUUGCAGCUGCGAGAAUCUUAUCUCCCAGAAGUUGGUGGACCAUUUAAAGCUUGAAACCCAUGGUCAUCCAAAUCCCUACACUAUUGGAUGGAUCAAGAAAGGAGUGGAUAUGAGGAUCACCAAACAAUGCAACCUGCCACUUUCUUUGGGUAAGCAUUAUCGCUCAAAUGUGUUGUGUGACGUGGUUGACAUGGAUGCCAGCCAUGUUCUUCUUGGGAGGCCUUGGCAAUUUGAUGUGGAUACUACACACAAGGGCAAGGAAAAUUCUUACUCUUUCAUUUGGAACAAGAGAAAGAUCAUUAUCUUACCAAACAAAACCGAAGGUAAUACCUCUAAGAAGGAGGGGAAAACUAUGUUAACUAUCUCCCAUACCUCCCAUGAGUUUAUGGAAGACUUGAAGGAGGCAGAUUUGUGUGCUGCACUUGUUGUAAAGGGAGAAGAGCACCUGACUGUUGAAAUUCCAGCAAAGGUACGUGGUUUAUUGGCAGAAUUUCAGAACAUACUUGGGGAGCCACAUGGCUUGCCACCGAUGAGAGGAAUUCAACAUAUAAUUGACUUAAUUCCGGGAGCAAGUCUUCCUAAUCUUCCACACUAUCGAAUGAGCCCAAAAGAGCAUGAUAUAUUGAAGGAGAAAGUGGAGGAAUUGUUGCAAAGGGGGCACAUUCGAGAAAGUAUUAGCCCAUGUGCUGUACCAGCCCUACUCGCGCCAAAGAAAGAUGGAUCUUGGCGCAUGUGUACGGACAGUAGAGCCGUUAACAAGAUCACCGUAAGGUAUAGAUUUCCUAUUCCUCGUCUGGAUGAUAUGUUGGAUCAGCUUAGUGGAGCAGGAGCGUUCACAAAGCUAGAUUUAAGAAGUGGAUAUCAUCAAAUCCGUAUAAGACCCGGGGAUGAAUGGAAGACCGCCUUCAAGACAAAGGAAGGGUUGUUUGAAUGGCUAGUCAUGCCAUUUGGACUCUCAAAUGCACCAAGUACCUUUAUGCACUUAAUGAACCAAGUCCUUAGACCCUUCUUAUCCCACUUUCUUGUGGUCUAUUUCGAUGACAUCUUGAUCUAUAGCAAGGAUGAGGAUGAACACUUUGAUCACAUUCGGAAGCUGCUAGAAGUAAAAGGGCAACCUGGUGCAUGUAGCUCCCGCUUGCGCAGGGUCCAGGGAAGGGUCCGACCACUUUGGGUCUAUAGUACGCAGCCUUUCCCUACAUUUCUGUAA
This 1713-nucleotide ribosomal RNA is filed under the name Triticum aestivum (bread wheat). Its description in RNAcentral is "partial small subunit ribosomal RNA". Lineage: Eukaryota; Viridiplantae; Streptophyta; Magnoliopsida; Poales; Poaceae. The record is from RNAcentral.